Long non-coding RNA from Leopardus geoffroyi (Geoffroy's cat), 3051 nucleotides. RefSeq lists it as uncharacterized. Lineage: Eukaryota; Metazoa; Chordata; Mammalia; Carnivora; Felidae. The transcript has 4 exons. The record is from RefSeq and is a predicted model, not a curated record.
UGCUUAACCAACUAGCCACCCAGGUGCCCCUAUCCUCAUGGUUUCUAAACACAUGGAAAGAUGUUCAUUGUCACUGAAUGAAUGAAAUGCAAACUAAAUUGCACUAAGAUACCUUUUCCACCUAAGAGAUUAGUCAGAAGACAAAAAGUUUAGUAAUACACUGUGUUGCUUAGGCUAUGAGAAAAAGUGGCAGUUUCCAACUUUGCCGAUAGAAUUGCAAAUUAGUAUAAACACUAUGGAAGAGUUUAUCAGUCUUCAGGGAAUCAGAAUGACUUGAGGUAUUUCAAGCAGAAAUGGAUUUAAUAAAGGGACUUAGAUGAUGGCGUCCACUGGAUGGACUAAAAGAACCAAAUUUAGGAUGAUAGGAUUAUGCAAUGAUUUUUUUUCUCUUUUUUUUGGUCACACUGCCCCAAGCUGCCAUCCAGAGACUAGGAAGUCACAGCUAAAGUCACAGCUGCCUUGUAGCCCUGAAGCCAGUGAUAGGCUUACUAUUGCAAAACUCACAGUGGCCAAAGCCUAUGUGUGUUGGCUGCCAUCAGAACCAGAUUAAGAACAGCUUCUAUCCCUUUAGUCUUUUGUGUUUCACUGUGAACACACUUCAUUGGCAAAAACUGAUUGUUUGGGAAACCAAACCCAACUUCCAGUUGGGAAGAAAAUCUGGGAAGUGUAGUUCCUGAGUUUCUAACCCCUGUGUUCUAUAUCAUAUCUCCCUGUGGGAGAAUAUAGGAGGGCAUUGAAAGGGGUGCUGAAUGACAGUAGAUAGCAUCUCAUAUGAUCCAGCCCUUUGGCUUCCCAGCGUCCAUAUGUACCCUUUUGUCCAUAUUUAAAUUUCCAGAAGCAACAAUUCAACAACAUGCUUCCAUCUAAAAGAAAGCAUAGUUACACAAAAUAAUGCAAACAAGAAGGUAGCCACUCUGUCGUCAGUCACGGUGCCCAUCUCUGGCUGAAUGUUUUUCCCCUUCUAGUUCAGUCACAAUCCAUCUGAUAUUCUAAAGACUACAUUAUAAGGUUAGCUACCACUAACACUCCUUAUGUAAAAUAAUAGGGGGAGGAAAGAGGAAGAAAAUACUUAACAAAACCAGGAAGAAUAUAUAUGCAUGUUUACUACAUUUUGGUCAUUAUAACUUCCUGCCUCUGCCAUCUAUUCCUAUCCCUUUUGCCCUCAGCCAGCAUUCAGCUAUUCAGCAUAUUCUAUCUGGUGGAAUGAUCCAAGCCUGCCUUCCUGAAGGAUGUACUCUCUUGGUGAUUCUGCCUGUAUUUGGUUACUAUAGUUUUCCAUUAACUUUUCCUAAUGGACAAGUAGGCAUCCCAAGGAAUCCUGUCAUUCCAGACAUAUGCCUCUCAGGUCACCACUGAGUAGCAUCAGUCUUAUUUUCCCUUGACAAUCAAGAUCAGUCAGAACUGAAUUCCACCAACAACUUCAAUAAGGUUAGAAGAGGAGCCUGGGCUCCAGAUGAGAAUGGAGCCUGCUGACACCUUGAUUUUAGCCUUGUGGUACCCUGAGCAGAGAACGUAGCAAUGCCAUGCCUGACUUCCCACCUGCAGAACUGAGUUAAUAAGUAGGUGUUGCUUUAAGUCUCUAAGUUUGUAGUAAUUUGUUGCACAGCAAUAGAAAACUAAUACACGUUCAGAGAUCAGAAAGCUACAGGAACCCAAUGCUCAAAAUUAGUAUCAUUAAUAGUGGGACAACUAGACAUUACCUAAGGAUGUGAUAAGAAGUUCAAUGGAAAGUUCACAGCAUCACUGUAAACUAUUUUGACCAGUGGUGUAAAAUCUGAAUCAAACCAAGCUUUUAGAUUACAUGACUGUUUGCAUUUGUCAAAAUGCAAAGAACUGUAAAGUAAAAAGGAUGAUGUUUACAAUAUAUAAAUUAUACCUCAAUAAAUCUGACCUGAAAAACCUCCAAGCCUUUUGAUCUACCUCAUUUUACAGGAAAUACCAGGGAUAACUAAACGACAGCCUAAGGAAAUAGAUGUAUUUAGAAUGUGGGACAUUCUACAUGACAGCAGGCCUGAUCUCUUCAAAGAGUCAAUGUCAUGAGGGGGAUUGUUCCAAAUAAGACAAGACUUAAGAGGCAUAACGAACAAAUACAUUGCAUGAACCUAUUGGAUCCUUGUUUCAAAGAAACAACUCUAAAAUGUAUUUUUAGGACAGUUGUAGAAAUUUGAAUAUGAAGUGAGUUUUAGGUGGUAUUAGUGAAUUAUUGCUACUUUUAUUAGGGAUAUUAUUGGUCUUGUUAAUUGAAGAACUGUCCCUACUCUUUGGAGAUAUGUAUUUAGGGGUGAACUGUCAUGGUCUUUUUAAUUUACCAUAAAAUGAUUCAAUUAUGAGGCAAAUAUGACAAAAUAUUAAUGAUGGCUGAAACCGGGUGGGAUAGUACAUAGGUAGGUGUUCAUUAUAUUCUUUUCUUUCCUGCAUGUGUGAGACCAGAACUGACAUUACAUUGAAACAAAGAGCAGGUGAAAGCUCUUCCUGGACCUACCCAGCUGCCUUAUCCAGCCUGGAGAUCCAAAGUGGGUGAUGGAUGGACUGCACAAUGUGGAGCCUUAUAGCCAGUGCAAAAAGUCGUGAAUGCUGAAACAGAUGCCCCAGCAACUGCCACUGGCAAAAGAACAAGGGCGUUUGCCUCCCUUCAAUCUUCCAAAUCAUGGGUGUGUGAUUGAUCAGUCUGAAUCCAGAACCUUGCUGGCCGGGGGCAUUUUACCAUGCAGAUUCUGGUUGUCAGAUUUUGAAGACUAUUAUCUUUAUGAAGACAGGAACUAGAUUUACUUGAAUCAACAUUGGAACCUCACUACAGAACACUGAUAUAAGUGCUAAUUAAUAUCAGUAUAUGCCUAGUAUAUAAUGUUGAAACUAAAGCAACAGACAGACAAAAGGAAAUUGCCCAAAGUCACACAGGAAGUGGCAGAGGAGAUUAAAACCCAGGCCAUCUGAUGCUAAAGUCCUCAUCUAACCUUUGUGUUAUCCUGCCUCUCCAGGGUGCACCACAGGCCUUUCAUUCCAAAGACUGGAUAAAGAGAGGAUUUGGAGUCCAAGAGCUGAGAACCACAG